GGACGAUUAGCUCAGAGGCAGAGCAUCAGCUUCCCAAGCUGAGGGUCGCGGGUUCAAGUCCCGUAUCGUCCACGA
Molecule: transfer RNA, 75 nt
Filed under: Phocaeicola vulgatus
Lineage: Bacteria; Pseudomonadati; Bacteroidota; Bacteroidia; Bacteroidales; Bacteroidaceae
Also listed under: 1 other name
Description: Bacteroides vulgatus tRNA-Gly
Rfam family: tRNA
About the family: Transfer RNA (tRNA) molecules are approximately 80 nucleotides in length. Their secondary structure includes four short double-helical elements and three loops (D, anti-codon, and T loops).
Source: RNAcentral